UCCCUGAUGGUCUGUUGGUUAAGACUCCGCACUUCCACUGCAGGGGGUGUGGGUUCAAUCCCUGGUCAAGGAA
RNAcentral lists this transfer RNA (73 nucleotides) under Bos taurus (domestic cattle). It matches the Rfam family "tRNA". Rfam says of the family: Transfer RNA (tRNA) molecules are approximately 80 nucleotides in length. Their secondary structure includes four short double-helical elements and three loops (D, anti-codon, and T loops). Lineage: Eukaryota; Metazoa; Chordata; Mammalia; Artiodactyla; Bovidae. RNAcentral also lists the same sequence under 4 other names. The record is from Rfam by way of RNAcentral.